Molecule: ribosomal RNA, 126 nt
Filed under: Mesorhizobium sp. M6A.T.Ce.TU.016.01.1.1
Lineage: Bacteria; Pseudomonadati; Pseudomonadota; Alphaproteobacteria; Hyphomicrobiales; Phyllobacteriaceae
Description: partial 16S ribosomal RNA
Rfam family: Bacterial small subunit ribosomal RNA
Source: RNAcentral
GUUUUACCCGAAGGCGCUGUGCUAACCGCAAGGAGGCAGGCGACCACGGUAGGGUCAGCGACUGGGGUGAAGUCGUAACAAGGUAGCCGUAGGGGAACCUGCGGCUGGAUCACCUCCUUUCUAAGG